RNAcentral lists this ribosomal RNA (287 nucleotides) under uncultured bacterium. RNAcentral describes it as "partial 16S ribosomal RNA". It matches the Rfam family "Bacterial small subunit ribosomal RNA", at positions 514 to 793 of the family's 1533-position model. The record is from RNAcentral.
GCCGCGGUAAGUACGGAGGGUGCGAGCGUUAAUCGGAAGUUACUGGGCGUAAAGACGCAUGCAGGCGGCCGCGUUAAGUACAGGAUGUGAAAGCCCGGGGCUUAACCUCGGAAUUGCAUUUGAAACUGGCAGGCUAGAGUCUUGUAGAGGGGGGUAGGAAUUUCAGGUGUAGCGGUGAAAUGCGUAGAGAUCUGAAGGAAUACCAGUGGCGAAGGCGGCCCCCUGGACAAAGACUGACGCUCAGAUGCGAAAGCGUGGGGAGCAAACAGGAUUAGAUACCCUGGUAG